This 271-nucleotide ribosomal RNA is filed under the name uncultured bacterium. RNAcentral describes it as "partial 16S ribosomal RNA". It matches the Rfam family "Bacterial small subunit ribosomal RNA", at positions 524 to 794 of the family's 1533-position model. The record is from RNAcentral.
UACGGAGGUUGCAAGCGUUGUUCGGAAUGACUGGGCGUAAAGGGAGCGCAGGCGGCUUGUUAAGUCUGGAGUGAAAGCCCGGGGCUCAACCCCGGCGGGUCUUCGGAUACUGGCAAGCUAGAGUACGGAAGAGGAAAGCGGAAUUCCAGGUGUAGCGGUGAAAUGCGUAGAUAUCUGGAGGAACACCAAUGGCGAAGGCAGCCCCCUGGGUCGAUACUGACGCUCAUGCACGAAAGCGUGGGUAGCAAACAGGAUUAGAUACCCUAGUAGU